UCCCUGGUAGUAUAUCGGUUUAGUACACGCGCCUGUCAUCGAGAACAGACAGUGUGCCUUCGCGCGAAAGCUGGGUUCGACUCCCAGCCAGGGAG
Molecule: transfer RNA, 95 nt
Filed under: Lentinula edodes (shiitake mushroom)
Lineage: Eukaryota; Fungi; Basidiomycota; Agaricomycetes; Agaricales; Omphalotaceae
Description: tRNA-Asp
Source: RNAcentral